GACCCCAGGUCAGGCGGGGGCACCCGCCGAGCUUAAGCAUAUCAAUAAGCGGAGGAGAGGAAACUUACGAGGAUUUCCCUAGUAACGGCGAGCGAACCGGGACCAGCCCAGCU
Molecule: ribosomal RNA, 113 nt
Filed under: Normanbya normanbyi
Lineage: Eukaryota; Viridiplantae; Streptophyta; Magnoliopsida; Arecales; Arecaceae
Description: partial 26S ribosomal RNA
Rfam family: Eukaryotic large subunit ribosomal RNA
Source: RNAcentral